RNAcentral lists this ribosomal RNA (421 nucleotides) under uncultured Alphaproteobacteria bacterium. RNAcentral describes it as "bacterial SSU rRNA". It matches the Rfam family "Bacterial small subunit ribosomal RNA", at positions 608 to 1029 of the family's 1533-position model. The record is from RNAcentral. Lineage: Bacteria; Pseudomonadati; Pseudomonadota; Alphaproteobacteria.
CUCAACCUCGGAACUGCCUUUGAUACUGCCAGUCUAGAGUCCGGCAGAGGUGAGUGGAAUUCCUAGUGUAGAGGUGAAAUUCGUAGAUAUUAGGAAGAACACCAGUGGCGAAGGCGGCUCACUGGGCCGAGACUGACGCUGAGGCGCGAAAGCGUGGGGAGCAAACAGGACUAGAUACCCUGGUAGUCCACGCCGUAAACGAUGGAUGCUAGCCGUUGGGCAGCAUGCUGUUCAGUGGCGCAGCUAACGCAUUAAGCAUCCCGCCUGGGGAGUACGGCCGCAAGGCUAAAACUCAAAGGAAUUGACGGGGGCCCGCACAAGCGGUGGAGCAUGUGGUUUAAUUCGAGGCAACGCGAAGAACCUUACCAGCCCUUGACAUCCCGUCGCGGACCCAGAGAUGGGUCCUUCGGUUCGGCCGGAC